UAGUCCCAGCCUCCCAGGAGAGCUAGGCAGGAGAAUGGUGUGAACCCCAGGAGGAAUUGGAGCUGAGAUCAAGGGCCUGCAUCAGCCUGAAGACAGGCAAGAAUCCGUCUCAAAAAAAAAAAAAAAAAAAAAUUCAAACUGCUUUCUGUGGUUUUCUGUGUGAAAAUCAUUGUAAUCCAAGUGAUCUUGUCCCCUAUGUUGUUAGCUGCUGUGAUGUCAUGUAUUAUACUUCAGAAGAAUAUUCUCUUAUUUUAUGUUUUUUACAUAGUUGAUCAAAAUAUCACAGACCAAUUUUUUUUUUUUUUUUUGAGACGGGAUCUUGCUCUACCUCGCCCAGGUUGGAGUGCAGUGGUGUGAUCAUGGCUCAUGGCAGCCUCAACCCCCCUGGCUCAAGCCAUCCUCCUGCCUCAGCCACCCGGGUAGGUGGGACUACUGGUGUGUGGGCCACCAUGCCCAUUGUAGAGGCGAUGUUUUGCCACAUUGCCCAGGCUGGCCUCCCACUCCUGGGCUCAAGUGAUCCACCUGCCUUGGCCUCCCAAAGUGCUGGGAUGACUCACACCUGUAAUCCCAGCACUUUGGGAGAUCAAGGCAGGUGGAUCACUUGAGGUCAGGAGUUCCAGACCAGCCUGGCCAACAUGGCGAAACACCGUUUCUACUAAAAACACACCUGUGGCUGCGUGCGGUGGCUCACGCCUGUAAUCCCAGCACUUUGGAUGCCGAGGCAGGUGGAUCUCCUAAGGUCAGGAGUUCGAGACCAGCCUGGCCAACAUGGUGAAACCUCGUCUCUCCUAAAAAUACAAAAAUUAGCCAGGUAUGGUGGCGGGUGCCUGUAAUCCCAGCUACUCGGGAGGCUGAGACAGAAGAAUCGCUUGAACCCAGGAGGCAGAGGUUGGAGUGAGCAGAAAUCAUGCCACUGCACUCCGGCCUGGGCUACAGAGUGAGACUCUGUCUCAAAAAACAAAAACAACAAAACAACAACAAGAAAAACCACACCUGUGCUGGGUGUGGUGGCUCACACCUGUAUUCCCAAUACUUUGAGAGGCCGAGGUGGGUGGAUCACCUAACGUCAGGAGUUUGAGACCAGUCUGGCCAACAUGGGGAAACCCCGUCUCUACUAAAAAUAAAAAAAUUAGCCAGGCAUUGUGGUAGGUUCCUGUAAUCCCAGCUACUCAGGAGGAUGAGGCAGGAGCAUUGCUUGAACCUGGGAGGCUGAGGUUGCAGUGAGUCAAGAUCAUGCCAUUGCAGUCCAGUAACAAGAAUGAAACUCUGUCUCAAAACAAACAAACAAACAAACAAACAAAGUGAAUCUGUAAUCCCACCAUUCUGAGAGGCCAAGGCAGGAGGAUUGCUUCAGGCCAGGAAUUCAAGACUAGCCUGGACAACAUAGUGAGACCCUGUCUUUAUUAAAAAUUUCAAAAUUAGCCAGGCAUUGUGGUAUGUGCUUGUAGUUCCAGCUACUCAAGAGGCUGAGGUGGGAGGAUCACUUGAGCCCAGGAGUUGGAGGCCGCAUUGAGCUGUGAUUGUGCCACCGCACUCUACUCUGGGUGACAGAGCUGACCCUGUAUCAAAAAAAAAAGAGUGCCUUAAAGAUCACCAAUGUGUCUUACAAACAUUAUUUUACAGUGAAAAAAGCAGGCAAUGGCCGGGAGCAGUGGCUCACGCCCGUAAUCCUAACACUUUGGGAGGCCAAGGCAGGUGGAUCUCCUGAGGUCAGGAGUUUGAGACCAACCUGGCCAAGAUGACAAAACCCUGUCUCUACUAAAAAUACAAAAAUUAGCCGGGCAUGGUGGCGCAUGCCUGUAGUCCCAGCUACUCAGAAGGCUGAGGCAGGAGAAUGGCGUGAACCUGGGAGUUGGAGGUUGCAGUGAGCUGAGAUUGCACCAUUGCACUCCAGCCUGGGCAACAGAGCCUUUCAAACUCUGUAUCAAAAAAAGAAAAAGAAGCAGGCAAUGGACUUACUGCCGUGGGUUUCAAUCAUCUCAUCACACACCCCAUUAUCCAGAAGUGAUAGAACAGUGACAUGGCACGGGCUUCCAAAGACAGUUAUAACACACUCAGAGACUGGUGCGCUAGGUGGUAGGAUGUAAAAUACGCUCUGAAUCAGCAACCAACACAUGGUUUGACCUCUCCCAUAGCCAGAAUACACAGAGCUAAGAGGCAGGAGGUGGAAGUGGGUAAAGUUAUACUGAAUGAUCCAUUCGAGUUUUUUGCUUCCUGUCUUCAUGAAUCUGUUCUCGGCUGGUUUCGAGACUUCAGUACCCAAGGGGGAAGUGCUUGCACAAGGAGACAUGGUGAAAGGGAAGUGAAUAGAGACACCUGGUAUUUUGUCUCCUUGUUCCAUCGGGCAAACAGAAAGAGGGGAGCUGAAGCGUUGGCUGGGGUCAUUAACUGAUCCCAAUUACCGAAAGUUCUGAAAGGCAAUAUGGGCAGGGAGGCGCAUGGCUUCUGGGAGCUCCUCCUGGAAGAGGGUUGCACAUGGGUACCGGGAAAUGAAAGGGUGGGCUAGAGCAGACUGGGGCCAUUGCUUUGGUUGCGCUCUCCCCAACCCCUCAUGCUAUUUGUGAGUCUUCCUCAGUGAGGACACCCAGGUGUCGGGAAGGGGUGGGUGCGUCUUCCUCCACAAAAGACUGAACCAGCAUUCCCUCUUCCCCCGGGGAGUAUGCGCAUGGACAAAUAGCCCAGUUUACCCACUGGAAACUCCUCCCAAGCCUUCAAAUCUGGAGGGAGGCCCACAAAGGUAGAGAUGAUUAAAGCUGAUACACAGAAACACAGGCAAGUGUCCCUAGAGGCAAUACCCACAGGGGCUUAUCGGCCAGGCUGUUCCUGACACUGGUCCUGGCUGGUGUCCUGUGUGCCUGGACAGCCUUGGUGUUUGGCCUGUUGUCCAAGCCCGGUUCUGUCCAAGCCUGGUUCUUCAGGCUUCCUGGAAAUCACCUUUUGGUCCAUUCCUUCUCUGCUCAAGUUACCCACAGUUGAUGGUAUUGCUUUCAGCCAACAGCUCUGACUGGCACCACGGGGAAGGAUGCACAAAUGCCAGUUCUCCUUCUGCUGUUACGAUCCAGACCACGCAUGACUUUCCCUCCUUUCCGAAGCACUGCAUGUUUUGAUUACUUAAGAGCUAGAAUAAAUUCUGUAAAAAUAACGGUGAGGGUAGAGAAGAAGCAAAACUUGAAGACAUGAAAAGAAAAUCUUUUUAGUAAUAAGCAACCCAAAGUUAGCCAACACGUGUCUCCAUUGCA
RNAcentral lists this long non-coding RNA (3239 nucleotides) under Papio anubis (olive baboon). RNAcentral describes it as "lncRNA (ENSPANG00000038823.1)". The stretch from base 807 to 954 matches the Rfam family "Metazoan signal recognition particle RNA". The record is from RNAcentral. Lineage: Eukaryota; Metazoa; Chordata; Mammalia; Primates; Cercopithecidae.